This 3281-nucleotide unclassified non-coding RNA is filed under the name Homalodisca vitripennis (glassy-winged sharpshooter). RNAcentral's name for it is "protein tweety, transcript variant X1". The record is from RNAcentral. Lineage: Eukaryota; Metazoa; Arthropoda; Insecta; Hemiptera; Cicadellidae.
CCUGUAGUCCGGUCUCUUCUUGAGAUAAAAAAUGUGUAUCACACAUACAAACUUCUGUUAAACCUACAGGUAUAUAAACUAUUCAACAAUUUAUAAUUAUAUCUGCUUUUAUAUUCGCACAUUUGUUUAUUAUAUUGUAAUAUUAAGUCAAACAAACCAUCAUAUUUAAGUUUUAACAUUAAUUUUCAAAUUUAAAAUGUGAAUAUAAAAACACGUGUUGCGUAAACAUUUUCCAUUAUCAUAAAAAAACAAUCUGAUAGUAAACGAUUUGUUUCCUUUAUAUGUUAAAAAAAGAACACUACGUUUCUAGGAUUUUAGUUUGUGUUUUUCUCAGAUGAAUGUUAUAGAAUCACAAAGAAUGAGCAAUAUAACGGACGUGUAAAUGCCACAGACAUCUCACAUGACACGAUCUAUAUGGCAACGUCCCAUAUGACUUCGGUCGAGAUGAUGUCGAGCAGUCACAAUCAGAUCUCAAUAUAAUUGACCCCGUGGCUUCUGUUACGUUUAUUUAAUCUUGAAUCGAUCUGAGCCAUUAUUAGUUCAGUGCGUCCGUGGCCGGCCGGUUUUCUUUUCUAAUUUUGUGACUAGAUCAGGAUUUUAAAAUUUAUUAUUGAAUAUUUUAAAUUAAUAUUUAUUGCUGAACUACAGUUAAGUUAUUACAAAUGUUUGAUCUUGUUGAUAUUGUUAAAAAGGCUCUUCUUAAUUGAGAGAAGGUCACAUUGUUUUGUCAUGUAUUUAUAGUUCAAUCUAAACUUCUAAUGAGUCUCAGUGGAGUAAUAUGUGAGACGUGGAAAUUCCGUAGGUUAAAUGUGUGGUAAAAUCAAAUCCUUAGCAUGUCUACUGUGUAAAGAAAAUAUUUUUAGAUUCAUUUUGUUAAUGUUGUUGAAGUCUUACCUGUAUUCCUAGCCUGUGAUAUGUGUUUCUGUGUGGUGAGCGAUCUUUGAUACGAACUGUAAUGGAUAAAGGGGCGAAGUUGGCUCGCGUGGGUGUAGUUCUAUACCAGUCAGGGGCUGCUUUCAGCCAAUUAUGCGUCGUGAUCAGCCAAGUUAGUUUGGCUGUCAGCCAAUCCAGUCUGGUCGUCAGCCAGUCCAGCGUGACUCUCGGACAGUUUAUACUCGCCUUCAGCCAGAUCAGCAACUCCGUCAGUCAGUACGUCUUUUUGGCCAAUCAACUCAGCAGCCUGAUCUUGCAGUUCAGCGCAGUGCUGAAGAAGUUGAGUGAGGGUAUCAGCGCCUUCAGCAAGGAAGUUCAGAGGUUCAGUGUGGUCAUGGUGCAGUUCAGUGUGGCGUUCAGACAUACCAGUAUCACCUUGGCGUAUUUCGGAAGGGCUUGCGGCGUUUUUGUCCUGAGUCUCCGAAGCGGAAGAAAGAUACCCUGGGUGUCGAUCUGUGUGGUGGUGCGACAGUGCAGUGAAGCUGUCUGCGGGUUAGGGGUUGCACUAGGCGAGUUCAGCGCCAUCUUAAGUAUCUUCACCACAUUGAAUUCUCAACUGUGCAGAGUAAUUUAUCUCCAGAUGAUGUCCAAAACGACGUGCGGAAUGAUUUUAUCGUUGGCGAAGAAAAUACGCCAGAUGAGCAUAGGUGUUGCUCAACUUAGCAGGGCGAUUUAUCAGUUGAGUCUGACAUGUGCACAUGUCACUCUCGUGGGGCAGCAAUGGUCCGUUGUACAGAAUCUUCUUCCAGGGUCAACGGACACUGUAGUCAGGGUCACAACGUCACCGAUAUAUUUACUAAGGCAGACUGUAAACUGUCUUGUAAUAUAUUUUCAUUGGGGUGCAGUGAGAUUGGGGACGAUUUUUAUCAUUCAAAUUAUGAAAUUUUCUGAGUUUAUUGUGGCUUCAGUUCAGAAUUUGGUUGAAAAGAUAAAAUGUUAUGUGGAAUGCCGCUUUUCGAAAGAGAAGAAAUCUGCUCUCACACUUGCUUCAAAUUUGGAUAUAGCUGUUCCUGUGAUACUGUCUUGUAGCGUGUAUGUGGAUAAGUAUUCGUGUGUGACUUUUCGCAAGGAACUUUUUCGUUUUCAUGAUAGCCUGUUCAGGAAGAAGAAGAGAAAAUCAAGAAACACUCCAAGACAGAUUGAUACUGUCUACAUAAAUGUAUUUAUCGACAGUGUUGUCUAUAGUUGUCGGAUUAAAUCAAUUUCGCCUUCCUUUGGAACACUUGAAAUGAAUUUUACUAAUGCUAUUUUAAAUGUGAUUGAAAAUGUUUUUGUUUUAAGCAGUCAAACUUGUGUAGAAAUGUGUCCACUUUUUGAUCAAAAUGAGGGAUACAGUUUGGACGUACCUUUAAAGAAGAUGUUAAAACUUAAUGAGCCAGUGGAAGUUUUAACUGUAGAUUUAAUGAGUAAUUACGAGUAUAACUGCCCUGAGUGUCACUGUAAUUGUUUUGUUUAGUUGUAAUAUUCUAUAAGUUAACAUUUACACCAAAUGCAAAAUAAUUUCGUAACUGUCAGAAUUAAAAAUGUGAUUAGUUUUUCGGGCUCUUCAAGCUUGUAUUCAAUUAAUUACGAGACAGUGGAUAUAAAAAGGAAUACUGUGUUCCUGUAAACAAGUAUACAGUUCUUUCAUCUAACCUUUGGCCAAGUCGCGUUUCUUUCGUUUGUGAAUAUUUUAAUGAGUACCUGGAACUCAGAGUUGAAAGAGAUUUUAUAAUUUCGAAAAGCUGUACAUUUAAACCUAUUUUCGGAACUGUAAGAAUCUCUGGAUAUCCUUAGAUCAUUAAUUGGAAGAACUUAUAACGAGAUAUUUUACAAAAGAUAUUUGCUACUUGAAACAUCUUUAAGCAUAUUAUCUGAACUUAUAAAUAAAAGUUUACUAGUUCAAAUAGCAUUACUAUUAUAAAUAUGUUACUGUUAAUAUUGAUAAAUAAGCGUCCAUAUUAUUACUUGAUAUUAUAAUUGUAACAGAAAGUCAGAUUUAAUUCUUAAUUUUCUGUGAGAGCGGGUUCGUUUUAGAGUUAAUUUCGUUUCCUAACGUGAUUUUGUGCAGCCUUUGGAAUAUGUCUCAUUUUUUGGAUGGAUACGUCAUAAUCCAGUCAAGUACAGGGUUAUGUCAUGGAUGGGGUGUAUGCCAAUAAGGUAAACACCAAAGAAGAACCGAGAUAAAGAAUCAAGGAAGCAUUUGCUGAGAUUGGUAAUCAAAUGUGAAUUUGUAUUGGGGUUGCACUAGAAUAUUGACUUUAUUAGUUAUGUGCAUAUUGAAAUUAAGUAAACCCUUUUCAUAGAACUUGAGAAAAGUGUCUAUAUUUUGGUUUUAAUUUUAUUACUGUAAGUGAAAAAUAAAGCUU